Leptinotarsa decemlineata (Colorado potato beetle) is the source of this 330-nucleotide long non-coding RNA. The record is from RefSeq and is a predicted model, not a curated record. Lineage: Eukaryota; Metazoa; Arthropoda; Insecta; Coleoptera; Chrysomelidae.
UGACAUAAUAGCGUAACGAAACCAGCAGUUACCAUAAACCACGGGCCACUUUUGAUAAAUAUGAAUCGAGAUUUCUGUUAAAUAAUAUGCCGCGUUUAGUAAUAUCGAAUAGUUAUUUUAGAGCUGUGUUGUGUGGUGUAGUGUACAUUUUCAAUAAACUAUACUAAUCUGUGGCUUUUGUGUAAUCAUUAUCGGAAUUUUGUAGGUUAUCAAUAUUUACUAUAUUUAAAAAAAUUAUCAUGCACAAUCUGCAUGUACUUGAUAAUGAAUAAAGCAAAAUAUUGAAUGAGUUUUCAAGUGUUUUUCGUCCGCGCAAGUAGAAACAUCGAA